RNAcentral lists this long non-coding RNA (490 nucleotides) under Equus asinus (donkey). RNAcentral's name for it is "lncRNA (ENSEASG00005036914.1)". Lineage: Eukaryota; Metazoa; Chordata; Mammalia; Perissodactyla; Equidae. The record is from RNAcentral.
GGCGAGAAGCCGAGGAGCGAGGGUGCGGGAAGGAAGGGAAAAGGAACGGGAGAAGGGAACGGAAGUGAGUGACGGCAGGAGGGGACGUGAGGACGGGAGAAAGGAGGCGAAGGGAGGAGAGGUGGCGAUGGGGUGAAAGAGGAGGAGGUGAGGAGCAAGAGAGGCACUGAGGGUGUGCGCGUGGAGGUGAUGCGGGAGGAGAAGAGGAGGAAGGAGAGGAGUUCGGAGGAGAGGAAGGAAAGAAGGGAAAAGAAGAUUGGAGAGAAGAGAACCGGGGGAAGCUCGAAUGCACCCUCUCGAUUCCUGUCAACAGGGUGCUGGGGCUCCGGGCAGAAGUACCAUUUGGUUGGGGCCUCAGAUUCAGGAAAAACCUCAGCUGUAGGCUUUGGAGAGUCUCUCCAAGGAGAUGGGUUCCAGGUGGGCCUUCUGCGCGUCAUCCUCCUCCAAGUUGAAGGCCUGUACAGGUGCGGCUGGUUGGCACAGCCAAAGC